AAAACGCAGACGUUGAAAUGGCGAAACGAGUAUAUAUAUCAUAAGUCACUGUAGAAAGCAAUAUUUAUGGGAAGAACAGGUGUGAAAUAAUUGGUAAUCAAAAUUCCCCAGAAUACUACUAUCCUAUUGUCUAGAAGAGGAAAGAAUCAUCUCCUUAACAGAUUCCCCAGUGCGCAAUAUAUAUCCAACCAUUGUCAGGGAAAGGGAAGCAUCAUCUCCUUCCAGGUUUUUAAAUCUCUUUUACCUACAGGAUAUUCAAGGUUUUGUAAUUGAAUGUAAAAGAUCACAUGUGGGACAGGACUCUGUAGGUCACCUGACCUAUUGCUAUCUGUAUUCGUCCGUCGUCGUGUGUUCACUUUUAAACAUUUUCACCUCUUUCUCUGCAAGCAGCAAAAACCAGACCAAUUUCAACCAAUUUUGGCAUUAAGCAU
This is a long non-coding RNA of Saccostrea cuccullata (small rock oyster), 431 nucleotides long. RefSeq lists it as uncharacterized. The record is from RefSeq and is a predicted model, not a curated record. The transcript has 3 exons. Lineage: Eukaryota; Metazoa; Mollusca; Bivalvia; Ostreida; Ostreidae.